GGGUGCUAUACAUGCAAGUCGAGCGAACAGAUGAGAAGCUUGCUUCUCUGAUGUUAGCGGCGGACGGGUGAGUAACACGUGGGUAACCUACCUAUAAGACUGGGAUAACUCCGGGAAACCGGGGCUAAUACCGGAUAAUAUUUUGAACCGCAUGGUUCAAUAGUGAAAGACGGUUUCGGCUGUCACUUAUAGAUGGACCCGCGCCGUAUUAGCUAGUUGGUAAGGUAAUGGCUUACCAAGGCGACGAUACGUAGCCGACCUGAGAGGGUGAUCGGCCACACUGGAACUGAGACACGGUCCAGACUCCUACGGGAGGCAGCAGUAGGGAAUCUUCCGCAAUGGGCGAAAGCCUGACGGAGCAACGCCGCGUGAGUGAUGAAGGUCUUCGGAUCGUAAAACUCUGUUGUUAGGGAAGAACACAUUUGU
Molecule: ribosomal RNA, 426 nt
Filed under: Mammaliicoccus sciuri
Lineage: Bacteria; Bacillati; Bacillota; Bacilli; Caryophanales; Staphylococcaceae
Description: bacterial SSU rRNA
Rfam family: Bacterial small subunit ribosomal RNA
Source: RNAcentral